AUGGCCUGGACCCCUCUCCUGCUCCCCCUCCUCACUUUCUGCACAGUCUCUGAGGCCUCCUAUGAGCUGACACAGCCACCCUCGGUGUCAGUGUCCCCAGGACAAACGGCCAGGAUCACCUGCUCUGGAGAUGCAUUGCCAAAAAAAUAUGCUUAUUGGUACCAGCAGAAGUCAGGCCAGGCCCCUGUGCUGGUCAUCUAUGAGGACAGCAAACGACCCUCCGGGAUCCCUGAGAGAUUCUCUGGCUCCAGCUCAGGGACAAUGGCCACCUUGACUAUCAGUGGGGCCCAGGUGGAGGAUGAAGCUGACUACUACUGUUACUCAACAGACAGCAGUGGUAAUCAUAG
This is a non-coding RNA of Homo sapiens (human), 347 nucleotides long. The record is from the annotation of a RefSeq genome assembly. Lineage: Eukaryota; Metazoa; Chordata; Mammalia; Primates; Hominidae.